AUACGGAGGAUGCAAGCGUUAUCCGGAUUUAUUGGGUUUAAAGGGUGCGUAGGCGGGACUGUAAGUCAGGGGUGAAAUACUGCAGCUUAACUGUAGCAUUGCCUUUGAAACUGCCGUUCUUGAGUACAGUUGAGGUCGGUGGAAUUUGGUGUGUAGCGGUGAAAUGCAUAGAUAUACCACAGAACGCCGAUUGCGAAGGCAGCUUACUAAGCUGUUACUGACGCUGAGGCACGAAAGCGUGGGGAUCAAACAUGAUUAGAUACCCUGGUAGUCCACGCUGUAAACGAUGAUUACUGGUUGUUAGCGAUAUAUAGCUAGUGACUGAGCGAAAGCAUUAAGUAAUCCACCUGGGGAGUACGUCGGCAACGAUGAAACUUAAAGGAAUUGACGGGG
RNAcentral lists this ribosomal RNA (393 nucleotides) under uncultured bacterium. RNAcentral's name for it is "partial 16S ribosomal RNA". It matches the Rfam family "Bacterial small subunit ribosomal RNA", at positions 523 to 918 of the family's 1533-position model. The record is from RNAcentral.